GGGGGCGUAAAGGUUUCGACGGGGAUUUUGAAGUGUGAUAAGCGAGUGGAGCUGCGGCGUAAUCUCCUUAAACUGCGCCACGUUUAAAUAUAAACGCAAGAAAUAAUAUUACAGUUUCUAGAAAUAGCGAACUGGUAGCAGCCUAAGUCUGCUUCCGUCCACCGGCAGAAUACCGCGACUGCUGAUUGGGCGUUGAUUAGCGGUGAACGAUCCUGCGGAGUGUCCGUUCCGUUCGAUUGUAUCCGGACUACCUACGAUUUCAGCCCGUUUAUCGGCGGCUACCAUAGGGAAUUUCAAUAGGUAAAAUACACUCGUAGAAAGUUGCAUGAAUAAGUUUUCGGACGCGAGUUCAAUUCUCGCCGCCUCCACCA
Molecule: transfer-messenger RNA, 371 nt
Filed under: Candidatus Ruminococcus ruminiciens
Lineage: Bacteria; Bacillati; Bacillota; Clostridia; Eubacteriales; Oscillospiraceae
Also listed under: 1 other name
Rfam family: transfer-messenger RNA
About the family: Bacterial tmRNA, also known as 10Sa RNA or SsrA, is named for its dual tRNA and mRNA-like properties. Its role is to liberate the mRNA from a stalled ribosome. To accomplish this part of the tmRNA is used as a reading frame that ends in a translation stop signal.
Source: RNAcentral